AAUUUUAACGAUUUUAGAAAAAUGUCAAUCUUUCCGUCACGUUUUCAUCUUUACCCUAUUUUGUAGUCGUAUCUUUAUUUUUUUAUUUACUUAUUUUCUCUAUCUUGGAACAGAUUAAACAAUAUGUUAUUUAUUAUACGAUAGAAAAGUGUAGUUUUUGCUCUAUACUAUGCAAAGCCAUAAAUUAGUACAGGUUAAUAUUUAUUGUUCUACAAGAGGUUCAAACACAACUCUGCUCAUCUCUUUAAAAACCGUUCAAGCUUCCCCCCACUCACCUUACAUGGGAUUUUGGGUCUAAGAAAUAUUAGUUUCCGCAUAGUUUUAUUCACUGCACUAAAUCGACUACUGACGAUGAAAAAAGUAAGCCAACCAUCAGUGGAAAUUGUCACGUAUGAGGUGGAGGAUGACCAGUCUCAAUGCUUACCAUUCAGUCAAUUAUAAAAGCGUAACAGAAUUAUUGUUAAGAAGAAAAAUCAAGCAGAGUAAUGUAUUUUAAAUACAGUGGGACAAGUAUAAUUA
Long non-coding RNA from Pieris napi, 519 nucleotides. RefSeq lists it as uncharacterized. NCBI's taxonomy places the organism in Eukaryota, Metazoa, Arthropoda, Insecta, Lepidoptera, Pieridae. The transcript has 2 exons. The record is from RefSeq and is a predicted model, not a curated record.